RNAcentral lists this ribosomal RNA (434 nucleotides) under uncultured bacterium. Its description in RNAcentral is "partial 16S ribosomal RNA". It matches the Rfam family "Bacterial small subunit ribosomal RNA", at positions 29 to 507 of the family's 1533-position model. The record is from RNAcentral.
AGCGAACGCUGGCGGCAGGCCUAACACAUGCAAGUCGAACGAACCUUUCGGGGUUAGUGGCGGACGGGUGAGUAACACGUGGGAACGUGCCCUUAGGUUCGGAAUAACUCAGGGAAACUUGUGCUAAUACCGAAUGUGCCCUUCUGGGGAAAGAUUAAUCGCCUUUAGAGCGGCCCGCGUCUGAUUAGCUAGUUGGUUGAGGUAAUGGCUCACCAAGGCGACGAUCAGUAGCUGGUCUGAGAGGAUGAUCAGCCACAUUGGGGCUGAGACACGGCCGAAACUCCUACGGGAGGGAGCAGUGGGGGAUCUAGCGCAAUGGGCGAAGGGCUGACGGAGCCAUGCCGGGUGAAUGAUGAAGGUCUUAGGAUUGUAAAAUUCUUUCACCGGGGACGAUAAUGACGGUACCCGGAGAAGAAGCCCCGGCUAACUUCGUG